CGAAUGCUGACAUAAGUAACGAUAAAGCGGGUGAAAAGCCCGCUCGCCGGAAGACCAAGGGUUCCUGUCCAACGUUAAUCGGGGCAGGGUGAGUCGACCCCUAAGGCGAGGCCGAAAGGCGUAGUCGAUGGGAAACAGGUUAAUAUUCCUGUACUUGGUGUUACUGCGAAGGGGGGACGGAGAAGGCUAUGUUGGCCGGGCGACGGUUGUCCCGGUUUAAGCGUGUAGGCUGGUUUUCCAGGCAAAUCCGGAAAAUCAAGGCUGAGGCGUGAUGACGAGGCACUACGGUGCUGAAGCAACAAAUGCCCUGCUUCCAGGAAAAGCCUCUAAGCAUCAGGUAACAUCAAAUCGUACCCCAAACCGACACAGGUGGUCAGGUAGAGAAUACCAAGGCGCUUGAGAGAACUCGGGUGAAGGAACUAGGCAAAAUGGUGCCGUAACUUCGGGAGAAGGCACGCUGAUAUGUAGGUGAAGUCCCUCGCGGAUGGAGCUGAAAUCAGUCGAAGAUACCAGCUGGCUGCAACUGUUUAUUAAAAACACAGCACUGUGCAAACACGAAAGUGGACGUAUACGGUGUGACGCCUGCCCGGUGCCGGAAGGUUAAUUGAUGGGGUUAGCCGCAAGGCGAAGCUCUUGAUCGAAGCCCCGGUAAACGGCGGCCGUAACUAUAACGGUCCUAAGGUAGCGAAAUUCCUUGUCGGGUAAGUUCCGACCUGCACGAAUGGCGUAAUGAUGGCCAGGCUGUCUCCACCCGAGACUCAGUGAAAUUGAACUCGCUGUGAAGAUGCAGUGUACCCGCGGCAAGACGGAAAGACCCCGUGAACCUUUACUAUAGCUUGACACUGAACAUUGAGCCUUGAUGUGUAGGAUAGGUGGGAGGCUUAGAAGUGUGGACGCCAGUCUGCAUGGAGCCGACCUUGAAAUACCACCCUUUAAUGUUUGAUGUUCUAACGUUGACCCGUAAUCCGGGUUGCGGACAGUGUCUGGUGGGUAGUUUGACUGGGGCGGUCUCCUCCUAAAGAGUAACGGAGGAGCACGAAGGUUGGCUAAUCCUGGUCGGACAUCAGGAGGUUAGUGCAAUGGCAUAAGCCAGCUUGACUGCGAGCGUGACGGCGCGAGCAGGUGCGAAAGCAGGUCAUAGUGAUCCGGUGGUUCUGAAUGGAAGGGCCAUCGCUCAACGGAUAAAAGGUACUCCGGGGAUAACAGGCUGAUACCGCCCAAGAGUUCAUAUCGACGGCGGUGUUUGGCACCUCGAUGUCGGCUCAUCACAUCCUGGGGCUGAAGUAGGUCCCAAGGGUAUGGCUGUUCGCCAUUUAAAGUGGUACGCGAGCUGGGUUUAGAACGUCGUGAGACAGUUCGGUCCCUAUCUGCCGUGGGCGCUGGAGAACUGAGGGGGGCUGCUCCUAGUACGAGAGGACCGGAGUGGACGCAUCACUGGUGUUCGGGUUGUCAUGCCAAUGGCACUGCCCGGUAGCUAAAUGCGGAAGAGAUAAGUGCUGAAAGCAUCUAAGCACGAAACUUGCCCCGAGAUGAGUUCUCCCUGACUCCUUGAGAGUCCUGAAGGA
This 1565-nucleotide ribosomal RNA is filed under the name Escherichia coli. Its description in RNAcentral is "partial 23S ribosomal RNA". It matches the Rfam family "Bacterial large subunit ribosomal RNA", at positions 1291 to 2844 of the family's 2925-position model. The record is from RNAcentral. Lineage: Bacteria; Pseudomonadati; Pseudomonadota; Gammaproteobacteria; Enterobacterales; Enterobacteriaceae.